This is a long non-coding RNA of Polypterus senegalus (gray bichir), 357 nucleotides long. RefSeq lists it as uncharacterized. The record is from RefSeq and is a predicted model, not a curated record. The transcript has 3 exons. NCBI's taxonomy places the organism in Eukaryota, Metazoa, Chordata, Cladistia, Polypteriformes, Polypteridae.
GCGGCAUUCGCGCUCAUCAGCCACAACAACGCACUUCUCUGGCACUUUAUUCGUAGCUGUAAGGACUUCAAAGACACUUUUCAAAGAGAAAUUGGAGAAGCUAAGCUCAUUCUCAUCUUGGGAUCAGACAAUUCUGCAGGUUAAAAGACCUACAACAGCAGUGACGUGUGAGGACCUCGCAGGCGAGAAUCAGCAGGAUGACAAAGCCACAGGAGCUGGAGCUGCGCUGAGCAGAGCAGCAGGUUGGACUGGAAAUGAGCGAGAAGAUGGAUGGCUGGACGAGGAGGGCUCAUCCAGAGGAGGGUCAAGUGCUUCAUCUGGCAUUGCAGUGAGAGUUUCUCCAGCUCCCAUCACAAA